AUAUCUCUCCGUACGGGAAGGAUGAGAAGCUUCGACUAAGGUUCGAUUCGAGCGCAGCGAGAAAGCGUUGCCGCAGGCAACGACCCGAAGGGCGAAGCGCGCAGCGCUGA
Molecule: small RNA, 110 nt
Filed under: Salmonella enterica
Lineage: Bacteria; Pseudomonadati; Pseudomonadota; Gammaproteobacteria; Enterobacterales; Enterobacteriaceae
Also listed under: 2 other names
Description: partial RtT sRNA
Rfam family: RtT RNA
About the family: This family represents a bacterial cis-regulatory element known as RtT RNA.
Source: RNAcentral